Molecule: ribosomal RNA, 424 nt
Filed under: uncultured bacterium
Lineage: Bacteria
Description: bacterial SSU rRNA
Rfam family: Bacterial small subunit ribosomal RNA
Source: RNAcentral
UGAGGAAUAUUGGUCAAUGGACGAGAGUCUGAACCAGCCAAGUAGCGUGAAGGAUGACUGCCCUAUGGGUUGUAAACUUCUUUUAUAUGGGAAUAAAAUGUUCCACGUGUGGGUUUUUGUAUGUACCAUAUGAAUAGGGAUCGGCUAAUCCCUUGCCAGCAGCCGCGGUAAUACGGAGGAUCCGAGCGUUAUCCGGAUUUAUUGGGUUUAAAGGGAGCGUAGGUGGAUUGUUAAGUCAGUUGUGAAAGUUUGCGGCUCAACCGUAAAAUUGCAGUUGAAACUGGCAGUCUUGAGUACAGUAGAGGUGGGCGGAAUUCGUGGUGUAGCGGUGAAAUGCUUAGAUAUCACGAAGAACUCCGAUUGCGAAGGCAGCUCACUGGACUGAAACUGACACUGAGGCUCGAAAGUGUGGGUAUCAAACAGG